ACUGGGCGUAAAGGGCACGCAGGCGGUGACUUAAGUGAGGUGUGAAAGCCCCGGGCUUAACCUGGGAAUUGCAUUUCAUACUGGGUCGCUAGAGUACUUUAGGGAGGGGUAGAAUUCCACGUGUAGCGGUGAAAUGCGUAGAGAUGUGGAGGAAUACCGAAGGCGAAGGCAGCCCCUUGGGAAUGUACUGACGCUCAUGUGCGAAAGCGUGGGGAGCAAACAGGAUUAGAUACCCUGGUAGUCCACGCUGUAAACGAUGUCGAUUUGGGGGUUGAGCUUUAAGUUUGGCGCCCGUAGCUAACGUGAUAAAUCGACCGUCUGGGGAGUACGGCCGCAAGGUUAAAACUCAAAUGAAUUGACGGGGGCCCGCACAAGCGGUGGAGCAUGUGGUUUAAUUCGAUGCAACGCGAAGAACCUUACCUACUCUUGACAUCCAGAGAACUUUCCAGAGAUGGAUUGGUGCCUUCGGGAACUCUGAGACAGGUGCUGCAUGGCUGUCGUCAGCUCGUGUCGUGAGAAG
RNAcentral lists this ribosomal RNA (520 nucleotides) under uncultured bacterium. RNAcentral describes it as "bacterial SSU rRNA". It matches the Rfam family "Bacterial small subunit ribosomal RNA", at positions 553 to 1074 of the family's 1533-position model. The record is from RNAcentral.